This 1241-nucleotide long non-coding RNA is filed under the name Citrus x clementina. Its description in RNAcentral is "Citrus clementina (C. clementina) long non-coding RNA (CCLE_LNC005629)". Lineage: Eukaryota; Viridiplantae; Streptophyta; Magnoliopsida; Sapindales; Rutaceae. The record is from RNAcentral.
AAGUUGUCUUAAUUAUCAACAUUAAAAUUUAAAACUCAAUCUUAAAUUCCUUAUUUAACCGAGAGAACAAAAAUCCAUAAAAUUUGGCCACAAUCCACGAAAGGGUUUUCUUUCUCUAUACGCAUUCUUUAUGUGGGGGACUCCUUCUCAAAUUAAUUGGCCUUUACAAAAUGCGUUAACGGCUUGUUGAAGAAACCGCUAAUGCAUUAAUUUUCAACUAAUUAACAAUCCACUAACGAAUCUUAUUUUACACUAACUAUAGAAUUUCUCCACAGCACACCAAGACACACAUUCUAUGACCCUAUGCCUUUUUAUGUACUCUUUGAUUCAUGUGAUCGUUGGAAAUGCUUUCACACAAUUGCCAAUUGCUAUAGCAUUUUGCAUAUAUUCUAACUUAAUUAAUUGUCCAAAUAUUUUAAAAUUUUGUCACAAUUUUAUGUUGUCAAGGAAAUUCUCAAGUUGUAUCUUAUUCGUUGGUAUGUGCUUGUGAGAUCGAUCUUGGUUUAUUAUUUUAAUUUCAUAAUAAAUAUGAACAAAAGCUAUUUGAAAAUAAGAAUAAAAUCAUAAAACUAAGGUAUAGGGAAUUAUUAAGUCAAGAGUCAACUUGCUUUUGGGAAACAGCAUACUUAUCCCAUCUUAGCAAUUUCCGCUCCUUCCAGAUGACAUGGCUUUGUAAAGCUUUGUUAUUGGCUAGCGUUUACACUGAAAAAGAAAAAUAAUAAGGUGAGGCAAGGCUUACGGAAACCACUGUGGAUGCAGCUGCUUUCCUCGACUAUUUCAAAAUUCCAAACGCGUUUGUUUUUUCCCCUCCUUAUUUUAAUAUCUGAAGAGGAUCCAUUUGCAGUCUCAUGCCCAAAACUUUAGAACAUAAUAAAAUUUACUAUGAAGUGUAUUUAGGGAACCACAUAUCUUUUAUUUCAGAAAGAUUAAGUUGCAAGUUUACAUCCUCUAAUAAUUGAUAAUUUUUUUUAAAAAAAGAGGGAGAGUGUGGUCAUAGCCCAAUUCCACCGUCAAUUUCCGUUAAAUUUUCAACAUAAAUAAUCAGAUAAAUAAAUAUGCUUAAAAAUUAUUUAAUUAAGAGUGUGUUUGGGACAACUACACAGUGACAUGAUUGGUUCUAACAAAUGGAAGAAGAAGAGAGGAAAGGAAUGAAUGAAGAGGGCGAAAGAAUUAAGGGGGUAAGAGUUAAUUUUGUCCUGUUUGUUAUUGAAGUAUUGUAAGUUUCAAACUACAGUUGUCAU